Molecule: long non-coding RNA, 1400 nt
Filed under: Setaria italica (foxtail millet)
Lineage: Eukaryota; Viridiplantae; Streptophyta; Magnoliopsida; Poales; Poaceae
Description: long non-coding RNA (SITA_LNC001837)
Source: RNAcentral
ACACGCACCAGCUCAGAGCUCAUGCUGGAAGGCCAUUCUACCGCGCAGAAGGAACGCGCGGGGCCAUGUUGCCAGUCUCAGGGUCCAGAACCAGGCAACCAUCUCUCGCAUCGCUCAGCCUUAUCCUCCCAGUCCCAGCGCUCAUUCCCUCCGCUGCGUUCAUCUCACCCGCCUGCAUCUCUCUCAGUGUCCCCUCUGGCUUGUUGAGCUCGAGCGUGCCUCGUCCUUGCGAGGGAGGCCUCCGGCGAACGCACGAGCUUCUUGACCAAAAGCGUAGCAGCGCGCGAGCCUGCCCAUGGCAGCGCACGAUGGAGAGGAUGCUGGCACCGGUUCCAUGGACAGGCAUGUUCGCCUUAGCUUCAGAUCCGGGUCGGUGUUGUGGUCCUUUUUUCUCUUGAUUCCGAAGAUUUAUGGAUUGCUGCGUGGAUUCAUCUUGUAGAUUUGUUCUCUGAUUUUUCUUGAUUUCCCUUUGAAUUCCCAUGAUUUAUGGUUUUUCCCAUGACUUUCCGUUGCAGAUUGUUGACGUGUGGGUCCAGCACGCUCCGAGCGGCGGCACCCGCGACAAAGGGACGAGGUGGGGGUGACGCGGUAGAUUCAGCAGGCGGCAUUAGAGCAACUCCGAGAGUACUCCAAAAAAAUUCUUCCCUAAAAUUAUGUAUUGAGCAACUCCGAGAGUACUUUAAAAAAAUUUUCCCUAAAAUUAUGUAGUGGGAGUUCUUUCAAAAAUUUUUUUCCCAAAAACAUAUCAAUCCACAGCAGGUCGCUAAUAGCCCUCAAUAUUUUAAAAUAGGCCAUGUUAUCGUAUUGGACCCAUCGGAAGGGACGUGCGAGCGUGUGGGAAUUAGGAUUGGGGGAGGAAUGCCAAUGCUAAAAUAUACGUGGUGGUAGGCUGUUUUUUAGCGUUGCUAAAAAAUUGGGAAGGUUUGGGUGGAUUGUUGGAGUUCAUUUUUUUUCUUUUUUCUCUUAAAAAUGUAUUGGGGUAAGAUUAGCAGCCUCUUGGAGUUGCUCUUAGCUGAGUUCGAGCAGUGGGUUGGACGAGGCGGGAGCUGACAAUGCGUGAGAUGGCGAGCUGCACGAUAUAUCUAGCAGUCGAUUUUGCAUCCACGGAUAUUCUUCACAUUUAAUCUGGAUGUUCUCUCUUUUCUUCUUCACCUUUCACCUUUGAUCUGGAUAUUUUUCUCUUUUCUUUUUCAUCUUCCUUUCGAAGCAGUCUCCUUCUUCUGUUCUGAUUGAGUUCCAAUCAUCAAGGGCACGGCAACUCUUUUUGCAAAUCGUCAAGAGCUACAACAACUCUCAGGACUGCGUGUUGAUUAAGAAAAAUGUGAGGAGAACAUUAGGUAGAGAUUACCAUCCUUUUUAUUUUUUUAGUUCUUUUUAUGAAAGGUUCUCCCAAAUACGCC